UACAGAGGUGGCAAGCGUUGUUCGGAUUUACUGGGCGUAAAGGGCGCGUAGGCGGCCACGACAAGUCAGUUGUGAAAUCUCUGGGCUUAACUCAGAACGGUCAACUGAUACUGUCGGGCUAGAGUGCAGAAGGGGCAACUGGAAUUCUCGGUGUAGCGGUGAAAUGCGUAGAUAUCGAGAGGAACACCUGCGGCGAAGGCGGGUUGCUGGGCUGACACUGACGCUGAGGCGCGAAAGCUAGGGGAGCGAACGGG
Molecule: ribosomal RNA, 254 nt
Filed under: uncultured bacterium
Lineage: Bacteria
Description: partial 16S ribosomal RNA
Rfam family: Bacterial small subunit ribosomal RNA
Source: RNAcentral